GAUGAAGAACGUAGCGAAAUGCGAUAAGUAAUGUGAAUUGCAGAAUUCAGUGAAUCAUCGAAUCUUUGAACGCACCUUGCGCCCUUUGGCCAUUCCGAAGGGCAUGCCUGUUUGAGUAUCAUGAACACCUCAACUCUUCAUGGUUUUCCGUGAUGAGCUUGGACUUUGGGGGUCUUGCUGGCCUAUGGUCAGCUCCUCUAAAAUAAAUCAGCUUGCCAGUGUUUGGUGGGUAUCACAGGUGUGAUAACUAUCUACGCUUGUGGUUUUCCACCAGGUAACCUUCAGCAGUGGAGGUUCGCUGGAGCUCACAGAUGUGUCUCUCCUCAGUGAGGACGGCUCUUUGAAUGUUUGAUCUCAAAUCAGGUAGGACUACCCGCUGAACUUAAGCAUAUCAAUAAGCGGAGGA
This 406-nucleotide unclassified non-coding RNA is filed under the name soil metagenome. RNAcentral's name for it is "partial contains 5.8S ribosomal RNA, internal transcribed spacer 2, and large subunit ribosomal RNA". The stretch from base 1 to 121 matches the Rfam family "5.8S ribosomal RNA", at positions 35 to 154 of the family's 154-position model. The record is from RNAcentral.